GACGUAGGUGGCGAACGUUAUCCGGAAUUAUUGGGCGUAAAGGGUGCGUAGAUGGCCUGAUAAGUUAGCAGUGGGAAAUCGAGGCUCAACCUCGUGGAAGCUGGUAAUACUGUCAGGCUCGAGUGCAGGAGAGGUUAACGGAACUCCAUGUGGAGCGGUAAAAUGUGUAGAUAUAUGGAAGAACACCAAGAACGGCGAAGGCAGUUAACUAUUCUGUUACUGACAUUGAGGCACGAAAGCGUGGGGAGCAAAACGG
Molecule: ribosomal RNA, 256 nt
Filed under: uncultured bacterium
Lineage: Bacteria
Description: partial 16S ribosomal RNA
Rfam family: Bacterial small subunit ribosomal RNA
Source: RNAcentral